Molecule: transfer RNA, 73 nt
Filed under: Cimex lectularius (bed bug)
Lineage: Eukaryota; Metazoa; Arthropoda; Insecta; Hemiptera; Cimicidae
Rfam family: tRNA
About the family: Transfer RNA (tRNA) molecules are approximately 80 nucleotides in length. Their secondary structure includes four short double-helical elements and three loops (D, anti-codon, and T loops). Further hydrogen bonds mediate the characteristic L-shaped molecular structure. tRNAs have two regions of fundamental functional importance: the anti-codon, which is responsible for specific mRNA codon recognition, and the 3' end, to which the tRNAs corresponding amino acid is attached (by aminoacyl-tRNA synthetases). tRNAs cope with the degeneracy of the genetic code in two manners: having more than one tRNA (with a specific anti-codon) for a particular amino acid; and 'wobble' base-pairing, i.e. permitting non-standard base-pairing at the 3rd anti-codon position.
Source: Rfam by way of RNAcentral
GUCACGAUAGCUCAAGCGGUUAGAGCAGCGGCUUAUUAGCCGAAGGUCGUGGGUUCGAAUCCCGCUCGUGACA